This 82-nucleotide transfer RNA is filed under the name Ectothiorhodospiraceae bacterium WFHF3C12. RNAcentral's name for it is "tRNA-Ser". The record is from RNAcentral. Lineage: Bacteria; Pseudomonadati; Pseudomonadota; Gammaproteobacteria; Chromatiales; Ectothiorhodospiraceae.
GUGCCGGAGUGGUCGAACGGGCUCGACUCGAAAUCGAGUCAUGCCGCAGGCAUCCGGGGGUUCGACUAAGCUGGCGCAGCCA